UGAAAAUUUUACAAAUGUGGCCUUUGCCUGCAAAGACCUAAAUCCACUGAGGUGGUUGGUGGGGGAUGAGAAGAAAAGAAAUAAAAGGAGUAAUCUGAAGAAGCAGGGAACCUCACCUUCCAGAUGAAGUAAAUGAAAUAUACUCGCUAAGCUUUGGGGAGGGAGAGAGAAAGGUGUGAGUACAGGAGCACCCAAGAGCUGGAAUCUUCCUAGAUUAGGAGAUAAGGUACUACUAAAAGGUUAACAGGGUGAAUAAAGAGUACUCUAGUCAUGUUUCUGCAGGUUGUGGUUUGGAAGAUAAUGGAAGAAACCCAGACUAGCACAAGAACAGAGAAAUAGAGAUGCACAAUCAUAGUGAGGUCUGCCCUCAUUAAUGAAGAUGCCUCACUAAUUUAAGAUGAAAAUUGAAGCCUGGUAAUAUCCAUCUUGCAGUUACCCAGCCAACAUACGGGAUCUGCCAUCUCUGUUCUAUGUGUACGUUAUCUGGACAGAACAUAAUUGGACACAUUACCCUGCAACUUCGAGUUCCAUCCCCAUCUCCAAUAUUUUCAACAGCUACCGUUGUAUGAUUCCCUUGGACACCAGGGUGUAUGUAGCUUCUGAAGGACAGAUCUGGGAAGGGAGGCACACCUGGGUCCAGGAAGGAAAUGAAGAUCCUUUGGAAAAAUCUUCAGAGUCAAGGGUAACUGAAGAUUAGUCUAGGCAAAAAAAAAUCUUGGAGUUGUGGAAAACAGCAG
Molecule: long non-coding RNA, 737 nt
Filed under: Heterocephalus glaber (naked mole-rat)
Lineage: Eukaryota; Metazoa; Chordata; Mammalia; Rodentia; Bathyergidae
Description: lncRNA (ENSHGLG00000037000.1)
Source: RNAcentral